CGGGGGCCUGCCGACCAAACGACGUUCACCAUUCACGUCAAACAUUUCACCUAACCUAGUGUCCACAAACCACCCCGGCAAUCGCAUCUUUCGACGCUUUCAUCUGUAUCAGGCGUUCAAAUUACACGGUAUGUCACAUUAAAAAAAAGAAGCAUGAAUUUCUUGCACAACAAGCAGAAGCUAGUUGAAAAACGUGACUCCGAAAAAUGUUUCUUCAUGGAAACAAAAUUUCUUCUACCCCGUAGAAUUGGAGCUAAUUCUGCACGUUGCUUCUA
Diprion similis is the source of this 275-nucleotide long non-coding RNA. RefSeq lists it as uncharacterized. The transcript is spliced from 3 exons. NCBI's taxonomy places the organism in Eukaryota, Metazoa, Arthropoda, Insecta, Hymenoptera, Diprionidae. The record is from RefSeq and is a predicted model, not a curated record.